CAGCCGCCGCGGUAAAACGUAGGUGGCAAGCGUUGUCCGGAAUUAUUGGGCGUAAAGCGCGCGCAGGUGGUUUAAUAAGUCUGAUGUGAAAGCCCACGGCUCAACCGUGGAGGGUCAUUGGAAACUGUUAAACUUGAGUGCAGGAGAGAGAAGUGGAAUUCCUAGUGUAGCGGUGAAAUGCGUAGGGAUUAGGAGGAGCACCAGUGGCGAAGGCGGCUUUUUGGCCUGUAACUGACACUGAGGCGCGAAAGCGUGGGGAGCAAACAGGAUUAGAUACCCCUGUAGUCCCUGUCUCUUAUAC
RNAcentral lists this ribosomal RNA (301 nucleotides) under uncultured bacterium. RNAcentral describes it as "partial 16S ribosomal RNA". It matches the Rfam family "Bacterial small subunit ribosomal RNA", at positions 509 to 807 of the family's 1533-position model. The record is from RNAcentral.